AGAAGCAAGCAGGGGGUUUUUUGAAAAAAGCCAACGCAAAAAAAAAAACCCAAAAUCCCAUCGCCCUGAACAGUCUCUCUCUUCAUCAGCUUUCGAUUCUUAUCCCAAAAUUCCAUCCCACUGAACAGUCUCUCUCCUCCAUUAAAGCCACCGCCUUCCCCUAUUUCUCUCUUCAUCGUCAAGCCAUCGAAUUCCCUAACUCCGCCCACCGCAAAAGCAGCAUCACAGCCGAUUUCGGCCGAUCUUCCUUCGAGCUCGAGCGCUCUCUCGAGAUCCCCAUUUCUCCUCCUCCAUCAAGCCACCGCCUUCCCCCAACUCAGGUAAGGAUCACCGGUGGUCGAGGUCGAGGAGCCGAAGCGGACGAGCUCAUGGUCGAAGGUGCAGAUCAGUUAAAGAUGCAGUGAAGGCCUAUAUCAAUGUGUGUUGCAUGAAAUUGGUACUGGAGAUCGAACAUACGGUUUAUUGUGUAGCUGAUAAUCUUUGUUAUGUAUUAAUUUGCAUUGGUCAUAGCUUAUUGAUCCUCUGCCUUGUCUCCCAUGAAACUUUUAGUUUGAUGAUGAUUGAUACCAUCA
Long non-coding RNA from Asparagus officinalis (garden asparagus), 572 nucleotides. RefSeq lists it as uncharacterized. Lineage: Eukaryota; Viridiplantae; Streptophyta; Magnoliopsida; Asparagales; Asparagaceae. The record is from RefSeq and is a predicted model, not a curated record. The transcript has 2 exons.